RNAcentral lists this ribosomal RNA (445 nucleotides) under uncultured bacterium. RNAcentral's name for it is "bacterial SSU rRNA". It matches the Rfam family "Bacterial small subunit ribosomal RNA", at positions 354 to 796 of the family's 1533-position model. The record is from RNAcentral.
GUAAGGAAUAUUGGUCAAUGGGCGCAAGCCUGAACCAGCCAUGCCGCGUGCAGGAUGACGGCCCUAUGGGUUGUAAACUGCUUUUGUACGGGAAAAAACCCUUUUACGUGUAAGAGGUUGAUGGUACCGUAAGAAUAAGGAUCGGCUAACUCCGUGCCAGCAGCCGCGGUAAUACGGAGGAUCCAAGCGUUAUCCGGAUUUAUUGGGUUUAAAGGGUGCGUAGGCGGCUUAUUAAGUCAGUGGUGAAAGCCUGGAGCUUAACUCCAGAACUGCCAUUGAUACUGAUGAGCUUGAGUACAGUUGAGGUGGGCGGAAUGUGUCAUGUAGCGGUGAAAUGCUUAGAUAUGACACAGAACACCAAUUGCGAAGGCAGCUCGCUAAACUGUAACUGACGCUGAGGCACGAAAGCGUGGGUAGCAAACAGGAUUAGAAACCCCAGUAGUCC